AAACUUUCAACAAUGGAUCUCUUGGUUCUGGCAUCGAUGAAGAACGCAGCGAAAUGCGAUAAGUAAUGUGAAUUGCAGAAUUCCAGUGAAUCAUCGAAUCUUUGAACGCACAUUGCGCCCAUUAGUAUUCUAGUGGGCAUGCCUGUUCGAGCGUCAUUU
RNAcentral lists this ribosomal RNA (159 nucleotides) under Sordariomycetes sp. RNAcentral's name for it is "5.8S ribosomal RNA". It matches the Rfam family "5.8S ribosomal RNA". From Rfam's summary of the family: 5.8S ribosomal RNA (5.8S rRNA) is a component of the large subunit of the eukaryotic ribosome. It is transcribed by RNA polymerase I as part of the 45S precursor that also contains 18S and 28S rRNA. Lineage: Eukaryota; Fungi; Ascomycota; Sordariomycetes. The record is from RNAcentral.